Molecule: ribosomal RNA, 1346 nt
Filed under: uncultured bacterium
Lineage: Bacteria
Description: partial 16S ribosomal RNA
Rfam family: Bacterial small subunit ribosomal RNA
Source: RNAcentral
GACGAACGCUGGCGGCGUGCUUAACACAUGCAAGUCGAACGGAAAGGCCCUGCUUUUGUGGGGUGCUCGAGUGGCGAACGGGUGAGUAACACGUGAGUAACCUGCCCUUGACUUUGGGAUAACUUCAGGAAACUGGGGCUAAUACCGGAUAGGAGCUCCUGCUGCAUGGUGGGGGUUGGAAAGUUUCGGCGGUUGGGGAUGGACUCGCGGCUUAUCAGCUUGUUGGUGGGGUAGUGGCUUACCAAGGCUUUGACGGGUAGCCGGCCUGAGAGGGUGACCGGCCACAUUGGGACUGAGAUACGGCCCAGACUCCUACGGGAGGCAGCAGUGGGGAAUAUUGCACAAUGGGCGGAAGCCUGAUGCAGCAACGCCGCGUGCGGGAUGACGGCCUUCGGGUUGUAAACCGCUUUCGCCUGUGACGAAGCGUGAGUGACGGUAAUGGGUAAAGAAGCACCGGCUAACUACGUGCCAGCAGCCGCGGUGAUACGUAGGGUGCGAGCGUUGUCCGGAUUUAUUGGGCGUAAAGGGCUCGUAGGUGGUUGAUCGCGUCGGAAGUGUAAUCUUGGGGCUUAACCCUGAGCGUGCUUUCGAUACGGGUUGACUUGAGGAAGGUAGGGGAGAAUGGAAUUCCUGGUGGAGCGGUGGAAUGCGCAGAUAUCAGGAGGAACACCAGUGGCGAAGGCGGUUCUCUGGGCCUUUCCUGACGCUGAGGAGCGAAAGCGUGGGGAGCGAACAGGCUUAGAUACCCUGGUAGUCCACGCUGUAAACGGUGGGUACUAGGUGUGGGGUCCAUUCCACGGGUUCCGUGCCGUAGCUAACGCUUUAAGUACCCCGCCUGGGGAGUACGGCCGCAAGGCUAAAACUCAAAGGAAUUGACGGGGCCCCGCACAAGCGGCGGAGCAUGCGGAUUAAUUCGAUGCAACGCGUAGAACCUUACCUGGGUUUGACAUGGAUCGGGAGUGCUCAGAGAUGGGUGUGCCUCUUUUGGGGUCGGUUCACAGGUGGUGCAUGCCUGUCGUCAGCUCGUGUCGUGAGAUGUUGGGUUAAGUCCCGCAACGAGCGCAACCCUUGUUCACUGUUGCCAGCACGUUAUGGUGGGGACUCAGUGGAGACCGCCGGGGUCAACUCGGAGGAAGGUGGGGAUGACGUCAAGUCAUCAUGCCCCUUAUGUCCAGGGCUUCACGCAUGCUACAAUGGCUGGUACAGAGAGUGGCGAGCCUGUGAGGGUGAGCGGAUCUCGGAAAGCCGGUCUCAGUUCGGAUUGGGGUCUGCAACUCGACCUCAUGAAGUCGGAGUCGCUAGUAAUCGCAGAUCAGCAACGCUGCGGUGAAAACGUUCCCGGGGCU